Molecule: ribosomal RNA, 253 nt
Filed under: uncultured bacterium
Lineage: Bacteria
Description: partial 16S ribosomal RNA
Rfam family: Bacterial small subunit ribosomal RNA
Source: RNAcentral
UACGGAGGGUGCGAGCGUUGUCCGGAAUCACUGGGCGUAAAGGGCGCGUAGGCGGCGCGAGUAGUCAACGGUGAAAGCCCGGGGCUCAACCCCGGGUCGGCCGUCGAUACUCUCGUGCUUGAGCACUGUAGAGGCAGGUGGAAUUCCGGGUGUAGCGGUGGAAUGCGUAGAGAUCCGGAAGAACACCAACGGCGAAAGCACUCUGCUGGGCCGACACUGACACUGAGAGACGAAAGCUAGGGGAGCGAAUGGG